AGCGCUCUGAAGUCGUCUUCGUCUUCAUCUUCUCCUACCUCCUGCUCAAGAAGCCGUGCGGCCGAUCGGCUGGCUGGGCACGCUGCUGGUACUCUACGGCACGAUCCGCGUGGCGAUGAUCGGUUCGGCGGAGCUGAACUUCAACCGCUGGGCGUGGCCGCGCUGGCGGUCGUGGGCCUGACCAUCGCGAUCAACGCGCU
Molecule: ribosomal RNA, 200 nt
Filed under: uncultured eukaryote
Lineage: Eukaryota
Description: partial 18S ribosomal RNA
Source: RNAcentral